UACAGAGGGGGCGAGCGUUGUUCGGAAUUACUGGGCGUAAAGGGCGCGUAGGCGGCCAACUAAGUCAGACGUGAAAUCCCUCGGCUCAACCGGGGAACUGCGUCUGAUACUGGAUGGCUUGAAUUCGGGAGAGGGAUGCGGAAUUCCAGGUGUAGCGGUGAAAUGCGUAGAUAUGCGGAGGAACACCGAUGGCGAAGGCAAUCCCCUGGGCCUGCACUGACGCUCAUGCACGAAAGCGUGGGGAGCAAACAGG
This 253-nucleotide ribosomal RNA is filed under the name uncultured bacterium. RNAcentral's name for it is "partial 16S ribosomal RNA". It matches the Rfam family "Bacterial small subunit ribosomal RNA", at positions 524 to 776 of the family's 1533-position model. The record is from RNAcentral.